UUGUCGGCAACUAACUUCGCAGAAACCAUAUGUCAUGAGAUGGGAAAACUUAGUUUGGAAAUUAUUUCCCAUGGCACCUUAGGUCAUGUUUCCAUUGAAUCUACCUUAGAGGACCAAAUUGGGCUGAUACAAUUAGAAGAUGAGGAAAUAAAGCUAAUUAAGGAGAAAGUUGCAAAGAGAGAUGAGGGGUAUAAACAUUUCCGACAAGAUGAGAAGGGAAUAGUGUACUAUGAGAACCGAC
Molecule: long non-coding RNA, 241 nt
Filed under: Setaria italica (foxtail millet)
Lineage: Eukaryota; Viridiplantae; Streptophyta; Magnoliopsida; Poales; Poaceae
Description: long non-coding RNA (SITA_LNC000946)
Source: RNAcentral